GAUGAACGCUGACAGAAUGCUUAACACUGCAAGUCUUUGGCGAAGCUGUGCUUGCACAGCCUAGCCAAGGCGGACGGGUGAGUAACGCGUAAGGAACUUGCCCUGCAGUCAGGGAUAACAGACGGAAACGACUGAUAAGACCUGGUAAAGUCAGGCGGACUCAUGUCCAGCCUGAUGAAAAGAGAUGCUGCAGGAGAGCCUUGCGUCCUAUUAGCUUGUUGGUGGGGUAACGGCCCACCAAGGCGAUGAUAGGUAGCCGGCCUGAGAGGGUGGACGGCCACAAGGGGACUGAGAUACGGCCCUUACUCCUACGGGAGGCAGCAGUGGGGAAUAUUGGACAAUGGGGGCAACCCUGAUCCAGCAAUUCUGUGUGCACGAUGAAGGUUUUCGGAUUGUAAAGUGCUUUCAGCAGGGAAGAAAAAAAUGACGGUACCUGCAGAAGAAGCGACGGCUAAAUACGUG
RNAcentral lists this ribosomal RNA (462 nucleotides) under uncultured bacterium. Its description in RNAcentral is "partial 16S ribosomal RNA". It matches the Rfam family "Bacterial small subunit ribosomal RNA", at positions 28 to 507 of the family's 1533-position model. The record is from RNAcentral.